RNAcentral lists this long non-coding RNA (508 nucleotides) under Equus caballus (horse). RNAcentral describes it as "lncRNA (ENSECAG00000054491.1)". Lineage: Eukaryota; Metazoa; Chordata; Mammalia; Perissodactyla; Equidae. The record is from RNAcentral.
UGCAAUCUUGUGGGGAAAACAGAAAAUAAAAACAAACAAAUAAGGUUUUAAAGUACAGUUUGUGAUCAUUGAUAUUAAGAAUAUAACCUCUUGAAGAGCUAGAGAACAACUGAGGGGAGUGAUUAGAGAAAAGCAUCAGGAAAGACUUGACUAAGGAGGUGGAAGUCCGUCGGAAAAUGGAAAAAAUGACAUGGAGCCAGCCAAGCAAAAUCUCUGGAAAAGAGAAUUCUAACAGCGAUCAGAUUAACAACAAAGGCCUUGAACUGGAAAAUGCUUGAAUUAUUCAAAAGACAGUUUAUAGAGAGAGAGAGAGAGAGAAUAAAUAGUCAGAGCCUCGUGAGAAAAGAGAUCAAGUACAAAGUGCACUGGAGAGGCAGUUUACCUGAUGGACCCAGUAAGUAGAAGGUAGACGUUGUGCAAGUAAAAUUUCUAGGAUCCUGUCAGCGUCACCAAAUGCCUGGCCCCAUGCAGGAUGCACUCACAUGAACUUUCAUCUACAAAAGAGCUG